Oncorhynchus mykiss (rainbow trout) is the source of this 803-nucleotide non-coding RNA. The record is from RefSeq and is a predicted model, not a curated record. NCBI's taxonomy places the organism in Eukaryota, Metazoa, Chordata, Actinopteri, Salmoniformes, Salmonidae.
UCAUAUGCAAACGUCCUCCAGCAGGCAAACAACUUCUGAAUAUUGGAGUUAGGUGUCCAUGCCUAAGGCCUUAGCAAUUGCAGAAGUAUGUAAGGUAGUGUUUUUUUUAAUAGGGUGUGUUUGGAUGGCAGCCAAUCUACAGAGCUCCUUUUUGGGUGCCAUCUUGGAGCAGUUCAGCUGGGGGCAGACCCGAGGACCCACGCAGGUGGCUUCUUGGGAUGGCUGUGAUUGCCAUUUUAUGGAACUGGGAUCUGAGUGCCAUUGACUCCAUGCUGAGGAAGAUGAAGGCGGAGCAACAGAGUAGGACAGAGGAGCUAAAGCAGAGAGAGGCUGAAACUGACCGGCAUUGAGCAUGUUGCUCUACCAAGGAGAGGUGGUAACACCGAGAUCCUACCACUACAAAGGGAGUCUUACUGGAUAUAUCUAAAAACAUUGACCCCUAGUGAUCUGAAUAUUGACUUUGAUCUCAGGCCCUUCUUUAUGAACAGUUCUCUCUUUUAUGAACAAGUCUUAUAAAUGGACACACCCAAUAUGUUCCCCCCUGUUGAUGAUGCUUAUUAUGCAUUAUGGUUGAACCAAAAGAUUACAUGUAACAAAACAAUGUAAUGAAAUAGGUAACAAUUACAUAUACACACACACACACACACACACACGUGUGUUAAAUUGAAUUAAACAAUAAUGUAUGUUGAUGCUAACAUUAUGUACAAUAUUUAUGUUUCCAUAUGAUAACAAUAGCCUAAUAUAUUCAAUGUUAUAAACUAUUGUUUAACAGUUUCACUCAAUUCAUUCUCAUUAAAUGUAAA